GUGGACUACGCGGGUAUCUAAUCCGGUUCGCUCCCCCAGCUUUCAUCCCUCACCGUCGGGCGCGUUCUAGCAGACAGCCUUCGCCACUGGUGGUCUUCUCGGGAUUAUAGGAUUUCACCCCUACCCCGGGAAUACCGUCUGCCUCUCUCGUCCCCUAGCCAAGCAGUAUCCCCCGCAAUCCAACGAUUAAUUCGGUGGAUUUAACAGGGGACUAACCUAGCCAGCUACGGAUGCUUUAGGCCCAAUAAACAUCCACACCACUCGGAGAGCUGGUAUUACCGCGGCGGCUGACAC
This 294-nucleotide unclassified non-coding RNA is filed under the name uncultured fungus. RNAcentral describes it as "sequence contains ITS1". Lineage: Eukaryota; Fungi. The record is from RNAcentral.